RNAcentral lists this ribosomal RNA (433 nucleotides) under uncultured bacterium. Its description in RNAcentral is "partial 16S ribosomal RNA". It matches the Rfam family "Bacterial small subunit ribosomal RNA", at positions 29 to 507 of the family's 1533-position model. The record is from RNAcentral.
AACGAACGCUGGCGGCAUGCCUAACACAUGCAAGUCGAACGAGACCUUCGGGUCUAGUGGCGCACGGGUGCGUAACGCGUGGGAACCUGCCCUUAGGUUCGGAAUAACUCCCCGAAAGGGGUGCUAAUACCGGAUAAUUUCUUCUGACCAAAGAUUUAUCGCCCUUGGAUGGGCCCGCGUUGGAUUAGCUAGUUGGUAGGGUAAAAGCCUACCAAGGCGACGAUCCAUAGCUGGUCUGAGAGGAUGAUCAGCCACACUGGGACUGAGACACGGCCCAGACUACUACGGGAGGCAGCAGUGCGGAAUAUUGGAAAAUGGGCGGAAGCAUGAUCCAGCAAUGCCGCGUGAGUGAUGAAGGCCUUAGGGUUGUACAGCUCUUUUACACGGGAUGAUAAUGACAGUACCGGGAGAAUAAGCUCCGGCUAACUCCGUG